GGACUACAAGGGUAUCUAAUCCUGUUUGCUCCCCUUGCUCUCGCGCCUCAGCGUCAGGUAUAAGCUAGAAAACCGCUUUCGCCACAGGUGUUCUUCCACAUAUCUACGCAUUUCACCGCUACACGUGGAAUUCCAUUUUCUCCGCCAAUCCUCCAGACUAGUAGUUUCAAAUGCAGUUCCAAAGUUGAGCUUUGGAUUUUCACACUCGACUUACUUGCCCGCCUACACGCCCUUUACGCCCAAUAAAUCCGAUUAAUGCUUGCACCCUCCGUAUUACCGCGGCUGCUGGCAC
RNAcentral lists this ribosomal RNA (292 nucleotides) under uncultured bacterium. RNAcentral describes it as "partial 16S ribosomal RNA". The record is from RNAcentral.